RNAcentral lists this ribosomal RNA (253 nucleotides) under uncultured bacterium. Its description in RNAcentral is "partial 16S ribosomal RNA". It matches the Rfam family "Bacterial small subunit ribosomal RNA", at positions 524 to 776 of the family's 1533-position model. The record is from RNAcentral.
UACAGAGGUGGCAAGCGUUGCUCGGUAUCACUGGGCUUAAAGGGCGCGUAGGCGGUGCGGUACGGUUUCGGUGAAAUCCCUCGGCCCAACCGAGGAACAGCCGGAGCUACGGCCGCACUAGACGGCAUCAGGGGACAGUGGAACUUCCGGUGGAGCGGUGAAAUGCGUAGAUAUCUGGAGGAACACCGGUGGCGAAGGCGGCAUCCUGGACCGGUAUUGACGCUGAGGCGCGAAAGCGUGGGGAGCGAACAGG